RNAcentral lists this ribosomal RNA (481 nucleotides) under uncultured eukaryote. Its description in RNAcentral is "SSU rRNA". It matches the Rfam family "Eukaryotic small subunit ribosomal RNA", at positions 65 to 547 of the family's 1831-position model. The record is from RNAcentral.
AUAAGCAAUUUAUACAGUGAAACUGCGAAUGGCUCAUUAAAUCAGUUAUCGUUUAUUUGAUAGUUCCUUUACUACAUGGUAUAACUGUGGUAAUUCUAGAGCUAAUACAUGCUUAAAAUCUCGACCCUUUGGAAGAGAUGUAUUUAUUAGAUAAAAAAUCAAUGUCUUCGGACUCUUUGAUGAUUCAUAAUAACUUUUCGAAUCGCAUGGCCUUGUGCUGGCGAUGGUUCAUUCAAAUUUCUGCCCUAUCAACUUUCGAUGGUAGGAUAGUGGCCUACCAUGGUUUCAACGGGUAACGGGGAAUAAGGGUUCGAUUCCGGAGAGGGAGCCUGAGAAACGGCUACCACAUCCAAGGAAGGCAGCAGGCGCGCAAAUUACCCAAUCCUAAUUCAGGGAGGUAGUGACAAUAAAUAACGAUACAGGGCCCAUUCGGGUCUUGUAAUUGGAAUGAGUACAAUGUAAAUACCUUAACGAGGAACAA